UUAAACACCUGGUAUUGUGUUUACCUGUAUUUGUUUUAUAUAGUGGGUGAUUUUGGAGCACCCACACAGUUUUUUCAGCGGCUAUAAAUUAAUAUGUAACACAUUAAUAAGAACCAAGCACCUAUAACCCACACUUUUGUUUGUAAAUGUACUAUUUUUCUGUCAGUUUGUGUUACGUUCACAAGUCCACUAUUGAUGGACUUUUUUAUUUAUGAUUUAUUGAAAGUGAGCUUUUAAUGUCUUGUGGUUAAUUUACCAUAUGGGUAUUCCAUUUUCCCACAUGUUAUGUUUUUGCAUCCAACUCUCUUCUUUCUAUACAUCACAGGUGUACUCAGUAAGUUCUUUGGGGAAUGUACAAUCGGCACAAAUCUGGUGAUUUACUUCAAUAAUCCUUAGGUUUAUUGGACCCUUUAAAAACUUUUAUUUUUUUUUAAAUACUUUUCAUGUAUCACAAAAUAACAGAAUUUUAGAAUUACAUUUAUCCAUGUAAGUACCAUAGACUAUUUGCAUCAUAGCCAUUACAGUGCGGUGUUAGAGUCCCACAUUCCGUGUACUGUUUUAUUUGUAGUGAUGUAUUAGGCAGUAAUUAUUAUCUAGGGGCAUCUUCACACACGGCAGUAUAACAUUCUCCCUUGCAAUACGGCAAAUUAACAUCAUUAUAUUUUUUAUAUUUCAUACUUUUUUUUUUAUUUAUGCACUCCGGGCCUUGUGCUAGUUUUUUUACUCUUCUGACGCCAACUGUAGCUAAAUAUAAGGCAAAUACAGAGAUGUUUCUAGAUCUAGGGUAAUGAGCCUUUGAAAUUACUGUAUUUUCCUAAUAUAAAGACAGAAAGUAUGCAUUUUGUGGAAGACGUGAGGCAAUCUUUGUGUGUAAGCUCACUCACACCUCUAGGUUGUGUCCACUGACUAAUACAAAUCCCAAUAUAACUGCACAUGUAAAAAUCUGAGCAGAAAGUUUGUACACUUUCACAAUUUUUUCCCACUAGUUCUGACACUCAGGGCCUAACACGCUAUGCAAUUUACCUGAAUCAUUAAAUAUUGGGGAUGCUGAGGGUCGGGGGGGGGGGGGUUACAAUCUUCAUUAUCACAUAGCACUGUGUCUAUGAGAAAGUGCUCUGUUUACAUCUCGUAUGUUUUGUGGGAUAAAACAUAAAUAAUUAUUUGGUUUAGUUGUGCCAAAUUCUUCGUACUGAUAUAAAGAUUGGUAGUAUGGGUGGCUAGACAUUUACUGCACUUCUUUUGCUUUAAGGAAGGGGAAAAGUCAAUGAAAUGCAAAAUCUCAUCAAAUUGAUGUCUAAUUUAUAUAAACUACUUAACUGCCAGGAAAAAUUUUUAUUGGUAUGGAAAUGUGUACAAUUUAUCAUAAAGGAGAAUGCAUACCAAGAUCAUUAAAUAAAAGUGUAAUAAUAAUAUAAAUGGUAUAUUGUGCAUAGAGUACCAGUACCAUUUCAUGCAAGCCUUCAAACACAUCCAGAAUAUGUAGACAAAGUAAAAUGUAUACAACACGGAUAGUAAAGCAAUAACAAGCACACUGGUGGAGCAUGUAGGCAGCAAUACAACCCGACCAGGGAUCUCUGUUUCACAGCUGUAGAAGUGGGAGUAGAGCUCUCAAAGUCCUUAGUUGUAGUAAUAUGAAAAGGGAGAUGAUAGUGUAUUAUAUUUGUUAAAUGAAAGAUAAUAGGUAAGGAAGUGCACUUUCACCUUACGGGGCUAAAGUUUAGCUCCAACAUAUGCGCCUACUAUCACCACUAACAGAUGCAAACAUGCUUUUACUCCUUGGCGGUCACUCCAUAGUAUGUAUAGUAGGCCAAACAAAGAAGAUGAAGACAAUAUGGCAUAGUUAUUAAACUACUAGCUGAGGGUGAGUUGGUAUUUACAAAUUUUCACUCAUGAUUUUCAGGCUUUCUAUUACAAGCAAUGAAUUAUGGGAGUUGUAGUUCAGCAAAAUCUGCAGGGUCAGAGUUAGGAGAACUCAUGUAUUGGGAUACCAUUUCUAGCUACGGCUAUCCCUAUUGAGUACUGCCGUAUUUCCACAAUAAGACUUUAUUAUACGUGAUGAAAUAUACAUGAUUCACACGCUUGUUCAGCAGAUUUCUCAGUGAGGACUAGUCAUUUGGCUCAGCUGUUUUUGGCAAUUUUUUAAUACAUGUAUAUUAAUAAACAUUUUUUAUUUUUUCGAUCUUAUGUUCUUUAUAUCUGAGAUUUGAGAUUCAUCUUUAUCUGUAGCUAUCCUGAUCAUAAUUGGCUAUUUAUCCCAGUGUCCUCGGUUGGUACACUACUUCCACUUUAAACAUUGCUUAGUGAUAUACAUUUGACUUUGAAAUAUUAAGCAGUGUGAAUCAGUGCAAAAACGGCCAGCUUCAUUGGAAAACUGUAAAUUUUUUAUGAGAAAGAAUCUUAGGAAAUUUAGAAUUGUCCUAUUUUAGAAAACAGGAAGCAACAUUUUACCCUUUGCAGACACAAAAAAGUUAAUAAUAUUUGCUUGGGCAUUUAAGUUAUUAAGUAAUAUUCUGGUAAACAAGCCUAUGUGACUGAUUAUGCUAUGUAGUUAUUUUUGGAGUUGUCAUUAUUCAUUAAAAGGAGAGAGAGAUAUAUCCAUGAAAAGGAGAGAUAUAUCCAUGAAAAGGAGAGGGUGUAUGCAACAGUGUACAGACGUUACAGAUAGGGAAUUGACAUUUGAGCCCGAUCGGAAACUCCAAUUGAAAGAGGAAUGUGGAUGAGUGUCUAUAUAGAAGGGAUUUGCAUAUAAAUUGGUGGUAAAAUCCUGUAAAAAAUACUCUAAAAUUAAUCAAGUCACAACUGUCAUGAGCUGUUUAGGCUACUCUCAGCCUGUGGUGGACUGCAGAUUCAUGAGGGUCAUAUAUAGUCAAAACCAAUAUUGUUGUAUUAAAUUCUUUAUAAGUUUGAAAAUUGAAAUGUUGAAAAAUAAAAAUAAAUUCUUGAUAAC
This 2947-nucleotide long non-coding RNA is filed under the name Pelobates cultripes (western spadefoot toad). Lineage: Eukaryota; Metazoa; Chordata; Amphibia; Anura; Pelobatidae. The record is from RNAcentral.